GAUGAACGCUGGCGGCGUGCCUAAUACAUGCAAGUCGAGCGAAAAGACGCGGAGCUUGCUCCUGUGUCGUUAGCGGCGGGCGGGUGAGUAACACGUGGAUCACCUACCUCUAAGACUGGGAUAACUACGGGAAACCGGAGAUAAUACCGGAGAAUAUAUUGAACCGGAGGGUGCAGUAGAGAAAGACGGUUUUGGUGUCAGUUAUAGAUGGAUCCGCGCCGCAUUAGCUAGUUGGUAAGGUAACGGCUUACCAAGGCAACGAUGCGUAGCCGAGCGCUGGGGGUGUUCGGCCGCCCUCGAACUGAACCACGCUCCAGACUCCUACGAUAGGCACCAGUCGCGAAUCUUCCUCAAUGGUCGAAAGUCUUACGGAGCCACGCCGCGUGGGUGAUUAAGGUCUUCGGAUCGUAAAACUCUCUUAUUAGUGAAGAACAUAUUUGUAAGUAACUAUGCCCGUCUUGACGGUACCUAAUCAGAAAGCCACGGCUAACUACGUG
Molecule: ribosomal RNA, 497 nt
Filed under: uncultured bacterium
Lineage: Bacteria
Description: partial 16S ribosomal RNA
Rfam family: Bacterial small subunit ribosomal RNA
Source: RNAcentral